RNAcentral lists this ribosomal RNA (253 nucleotides) under uncultured bacterium. Its description in RNAcentral is "partial 16S ribosomal RNA". It matches the Rfam family "Bacterial small subunit ribosomal RNA", at positions 524 to 776 of the family's 1533-position model. The record is from RNAcentral.
UACAGAGGGUGCAAGCGUUGUUCGGAAUUACUGGGCGUAAAGCGCGUGUAGGCUGCCUAAUAAGUCGGAUGUGAAAUCCCUCGGCUCAACCGAGGAACUGCAUCCGAUACUGUUAGGCUUGAGUGUCGGAGGGGAUGGCGGAAUUCCUGGUGUAGAGGUGAAAUUCGUAGAUAUCAGGAGGAACACCUGUGGCGAAGGCGGCCAUCUGGAAGACAACUGACGCUGAGACGCGAAAGCGUGGGGAUCAAACAGG